UUCGUUUCGGUUCGGUUUGUCUUUUGGGGUUCUUCUCGCCUUCGAAAGCGCCGUCCUUCUUCAGUGUUUUCACAUUUUCACGUACAGUUCAAUCGUGAGGUUCAGCCUAGUGAGUUCUGUGUAGUUAAGUCGGAAUAUUUCGUAUAGUUCUCGUCGACUGUCGUCUGACAUUUGUUCUUCUAUUCCGAAACGCUGCAUUGAAAUACAAAAAUAAUACAAACUAGAAUAUUCAACAAAACAAAAAACCAAGGAAACGAAAAACCAAUUAAAAUUUUAACAAAAUAAUAACUCGCUUCAAAAUAUAUUGCAAAUAUAUCAACAAAUUUAAUCAAAUCAAAUUCACCAACAAAUCGAAAACAAACUCUAUUAAUUCGUUUACUCAAAAAUCCAAAAACACAAAACAACCAAAAACCGAUUCAAAUAUAUAACUGUUAAAUCUAAACGAGCAGGCGAUCUACUGGGAAGCGAGAGAGGAAGGGCAUCAGCAGCAGCACUACUACACGCGUGUGUGUUUAAAUACUGGAAAAUACAGAUAAGAUAAAUUAUUAUAGACACUCACGAGUACAUUUAGAGCAGACCAAACCCAGAGACAGACAACCGCAGAGAAUCAAAAGCACUCCAAGAGCAAAUCAAUAAAACAAAAACAAAACCCAAACAACAACAAAAAAAACAACAACAGAAACAACAGAAACAAAGAGAAAAAGCAACUCAAAAAACAAAAUUUUAAAAAAAGUGUUACCAAAAAAAACUUAAAAAAAAAAGAAAAUUAUUUAAAAGACAAAACCCGUACUCGUAACGGUGCAGACAACUGAAAAUACCCAGUGAAAAUUCAGAAAAGCGUUGACCAUUUUUUCUCGCAAAGGCGCCACGUCCAAGAGCAAAUCGUUCCAUAUGGUUCAUAUUAUUGAAUUGGUCGGCCAGCCGAAGGUUGAGUUUGCUCAACAAGUUACUGUAAGUUGCCAUCAUCCAUUAAUACCACCAGCCAUCAAAUUAAUGAACCGUGCUUUACAGCUGAAGCCAGCUGAAAAUGAAAGUCGCAGCGAGCAUCUAGAUCGCAAGCUCUUCGUUGGCAUGCUCAGCAAACAACAGACCGAAGACGAUGUUAGACAAAUCUUCCACCCGUUCGGCUCUAUAGAGGAGUGCACCAUAUUGCGGGGCCCGGACGGUACGAGCAAAGGCUGCGCAUUCGUCAAAUUCGGAACGCAACAGGAGGCUCAGUCAGCAAUAGCCAAUCUACACGGAAGUCAAACUAUGCCGGGUGCAUCCUCCAGCCUGGUCGUCAAAUACGCCGACACAGAGAAGGAACGACAAAUCAGGCGCAUGCAACAAAUGGCCGGUCAUAUGAACCUGCUGAAUCCGUUUGUCUUUAAUCAGUUCAGCCCGUACGGCGCCUACGCUCAGCAACAGCAGCAAGCCGCUCUGAUGGCUGCCGCUGCCACCGCGCCUGGCUCGGCAGCCGCCUACAUGAACCCCAUGGCCGCCCUGGCAACGCAAAUACCUCAUGGCUUGAACGGCACCGGACAGCCGCCCUCUUUGCCCUCGCCGACCAUGCCCAACUUCAGCAUGGGCGCCAACACGCCCAACGGCCAGCCCGGUGGAGCUGCCGCGGCUGCAGCAGCUGCUGCGGCGGACGGGGUCUUCACGAACGGCAUUCCACAAACGGCAUUCCCAGGACAUCCGCUGCAUUUGACUAUACCACCACAAGGUCUGCCAAACGGCGAUGCUGCUACUCUGCAACAUGCCUUCCCUGGGCUGCCACCGUUUCCAGGAGUUGAUUUUCUGAUGUUCCCAGGAUGCUCGAUAUCCGGUCCAGAGGGCUGCAAUCUCUUCAUCUACCAUUUGCCCCAAGAGUUUGGCGAUGCGGAGUUAAUGCAAAUGUUCCUGCCCUUUGGCAAUGUGAUCAGCUCCAAGGUCUUCAUCGAUCGUGCUACAAACCAGAGCAAAUGCUUCGGUUUCGUGUCCUUCGAUAAUCCAGCCAGCGCUCAAGCGGCCAUUCAGGCCAUGAAUGGCUUCCAGAUUGGCAUGAAAAGACUGAAAGUUCAAUUGAAGCGGCCAAAGGAUGCCAGUCGACCCUAUUAACAAUCGGAGUUCCUUAAGUGUAAUUCGCAACAACUACAACUACUUCCUGGAGCACCAACAACAGGAGUAGUCGCAGGAGCAGCCAUGCCACAAACUACAACACAAUUUGCAACAGCAGCAGCAGCAGCAGCAACAGCAUCCACAGCAACAGCAACAGCCACAGCAACAACCACAGUGCACCACUAUAGUCACAGAAGCAGCUUUAGGCCACCAUUUCCCAAUGACAACUCCACUCAUAUGCCGGUAUCAAUUCGCCAGCUGGCGCGAAAUGGUGACCUACUGCUAUCGCUAUAUAGUACCCCGCCAGAAACACUUCCUCCCCAGCCCCAAAAAGCAACCAACAACAGCAACAUCAGCAAGGACAACAACAACAGCACCAACCAACAACAACAGCACCAACAAACACCCACCAGCAGCACCACACCAAACAACAAUAGCAAGCACUGCAGGCAGCAGAAUGGACCGAUUCCCAUCCACAUCCAACUCAACCGGACAUGGCAUCCAAUAGCAACCAGAAGGAACUAUCCAAAGUGGAAUAAGUCGAAAAACUGUUCAAGUGGCAGCAACAAAAGCGAAAGACCUAAAGCCACCAGGACCCCACAAACAGCAACCAUGACAACUGCGACAACAAUAACGAGCGACUACUGAAAGGAUGGUCUUCACCAUGCUAAGUGAAAUGAUUAUAAAAAUUAAACACAUGCAAAAUCGGUGUGUAAAAAAACCUAAAAUAAUAGUAAACAACCAAA
RNAcentral lists this unclassified non-coding RNA (2825 nucleotides) under Drosophila pseudoobscura pseudoobscura. RNAcentral describes it as "bruno-3". The record is from RNAcentral. Lineage: Eukaryota; Metazoa; Arthropoda; Insecta; Diptera; Drosophilidae.